This 785-nucleotide ribosomal RNA is filed under the name uncultured bacterium. RNAcentral's name for it is "bacterial SSU rRNA". It matches the Rfam family "Bacterial small subunit ribosomal RNA", at positions 28 to 811 of the family's 1533-position model. The record is from RNAcentral.
GAUGAACGCUGGCGGCGUGCUUAACACAUGCAAGUCGAACGAAGCAUUUAGAACGGAUUACUUCGGUUUGAAGUUCUUUAUGACUGAGUGGCGGACGGGUGAGUAACGCGUGGGUAACCUGCCUUGUACUGGGGGAUAGCAGCUGGAAACGGCUGGUAAUACCGCAUAAGCGCACAAUGUUGCAUGACAUGGUGUGAAAAACUCCGGUGGUAUAAGAUGGACCCGCGUCUGAUUAGCUAGUUGGUGAGAUAACAGCCCACCAAGGCGACGAUCAGUAGCCGACCUGAGAGGGUGACCGGCCACAUUGGGACUGAGACACGGCCCAGACUCCUACGGGAGGCAGCAGUGGGGAAUAUUGCACAAUGGAGGAAACUCUGAUGCAGCGACGCCGCGUGAGUGAAGAAGUAAUUCGUUAUGUAAAGCUCUAUCAGCAGGGAAGAUAGUGACGGUACCUGACUAAGAAGCUCCGGCUAAAUACGUGCCAGCAGCCGCGGUAAUACGUAUGGAGCAAGCGUUAUCCGGAUUUACUGGGUGUAAAGGGAGUGUAGGUGGCCAUGCAAGUCAGAAGUGAAAAUCCGGGGCUCAACCCCGGAACUGCUUUUGAAACUGUAAGGCUAGAGUGCAGGAGGGGUGAGUGGAAUUCCUAGUGUAGCGGUGAAAUGCGUAGAUAUUAGGAGGAACACCAGUGGCGAAGGCGGCUCACUGGACUGUAACUGACACUGAGGCUCGAAAGCGUGGGGAGCAAACAGGAUUAGAUACCCUGGUAGUCCACGCCGUAAACGAUG